AUGGCCGGCUCCCACCACGGCGGUUCUUCUUUGCGGCGCAACGACGGUGGCCGUAGUGGAGGGCCACUGGUGGCGCGGCAGCUCGAGAUGCACUCAGGUCAACCCUCCCUCUCCCAUCCCCUCCCACCCCCUCCCACCUCCCACCCCACUGCCCCCACCACCCCACCUCUCAACCCCAUCCCUCUCCCCUCCGGCUCCCUCUCCCAUCCGUCUCUCUCUCCCCCUCAACACCACCAAAUUUUGCUUAGGUUAAGGUUUUGCUUAGAUUCUGAGGGGGGCUCGAGUAAGUACCAGAGAGUCUCGAGUGGUAGGGCGACCCACGUCAGCAACUCCGGCACGACCGAGUCAUCCGCCUCCCGUCAGGCCGCUACCGAUGACGAGUCGACAUUGGAUGGCUAUGUCGGAGUGGACUUGGAUGUACUGGAUCUGCUCGCUACCGAGUCAGGCGACAUGGUCGCCUCGGACGUCUCGGGGUCUACCUCGAGGAACACUUCUAAGAGGAAGAAAUCCGGGCAUGAUCCGGGGAAGCCCGAGGGGGCGCGCCCUCCGAACCAUGUCAUCGGCUCCCUCUUGAGGAAGUACUUCCCUCGGUUGGCCAAGAUGGGUGAUGACCACCCGUCGUCGCCAGGCGCAGCAUGUGGAGAAGGGAAACGAUCGCGCCAAAAUGCCAGCCUAGCUCAUGUCCAGGGGAGCUGGAACCUAACAUCUCUCAAGCAAUACAUGGAGGCAAUGCUUGGUCGCCCGGUCCACAUCCUGGAGGCCUGGAAAGAAGGCCACAAGGGCAAGGAUGGCGUCGACUUCUGUAGCUUGUCAGCGCAGGAGAAGUACGAGACCUUCAAAGAGGUCUUCCAGGAGGUGCAUGGGCAUGACGUCGAACCUAUGUCCAAGCCCCUUGAUCCUGAGCUUCUCAUCAUUGCUGGAAAGGGGAAGGGCCAUGGACGCCACCUCCUUUGCAACGGGGCGACCGCCACCUCCUCGCAUCGCAAGCUGCACGAGAUACACGCGUCGAGCACCAGCUCAACUCCGUUCAUACGGAGUCUCCCAACCGCCGCGUCACGUGAGAUAACGCGUCUCAAGCGGGCUGCUGAAGAGGAGCAAAGAUUCUUAUGCAAUCUCGAAGCAGUGGAAAUGAUGCACCUCCUCCUCCUCCGGAAUCUUAACCCGAUGGAAAUGAUGCCCCUCCUCCUCCUCAAGAUGUUGGAUCAAAUAGGAAAGAGCUUAAAAACAAAAGCAAUGGGACACAUUUCCGAGAGUCACGCUCGGAAACAGGGUGACGUCGCGGCUCUCGGUAUAGGUAAACCAAGUGAAGGCGCCGUCAGUUCCGAACGGGCAUGCCACGUGGCUUCCCUUUGCCGUGUGUGGCUCUUGGCGUCUGCCCCGUUUGCCGUGCAGUGCUUGUUCACCAUGCUAUCAGGAUCGGUCAGGAGUCGGGUCUCGGUCAGCCAAGCCGAGAAAGGUACAAGGACGCAGCGCUGGGCAUCCGGCGCCCCCAGUCUGAGUUUUCACCAUGCAUGCAUCCUAUGCAUAUGGAGUGCAUGCAUGCAAAAGCAAAAGCCACGUUAUUUACCGCGCGACAAGCACCCGCCGCGGCCAUGCCGCCUUGCGUACGGGGCUCGCACACCUCGCUCCCCCGCCCCUGAGAAAGUCAGCGUCCGUCCAUCCAUCCACCCGUCCAUCGGCUUCCCGUUCCCGUGUGCACCCCUCCUUCCGCCCGUCCACAAAAAUAAUCCGGCCAUCGCUCUCGCCCUCCUGUACCCCCUGAUCUCGUCUGCCUUGCCCUCACAUACUUCUUUAUUGUCCUCUUUGGAAGCCAACUCAAGUUACCCAUCCAUCAAUCUCCAUUUCGAUCUGCUGCUAGCUCGCUUGCUUGGUGUAAAGAAAAGAUAG
This 1887-nucleotide ribosomal RNA is filed under the name Triticum aestivum (bread wheat). Its description in RNAcentral is "partial small subunit ribosomal RNA". Lineage: Eukaryota; Viridiplantae; Streptophyta; Magnoliopsida; Poales; Poaceae. The record is from RNAcentral.